Long non-coding RNA from Brassica oleracea var. oleracea, 472 nucleotides. RefSeq lists it as uncharacterized. The transcript is spliced from 2 exons. Lineage: Eukaryota; Viridiplantae; Streptophyta; Magnoliopsida; Brassicales; Brassicaceae. The record is from RefSeq and is a predicted model, not a curated record.
CCAGGUCCCUGUGGAUGGAGUGCUAAUUAGUGGCCAUUCUCUUGCCAUUGAUGAAUCUAGCAUGACCGGUGAAAGCAAGAUUGUCCACAAGGAUCAAAAAUCUCCUUUUCUAAUGUCUGGUUGUAAAGUAGCUGACGGAGUCCGUAAUGUGAUGGUAUGUCUUUGGUCCUAUUGAUGUUAGAGUCACAUAGAAGAAGAAGAGGAGCAAACAAGAGUAGCACAGAAGAAGCUACAAAGAAUGAAAAAGAAGAAUGAAGCUUAAAGCGCAAUAAACGAAGGAACAAGAAGUAACCAAAGAGAGUCACGUAGAAGAAGAAAGUCAACGUGAGAGCACAUUGGUUACGAACCAAAGAGAAGUUGAGGACAUCUAUUUUGUUGUUGUUUAAGUGUAGUAGUUAGUGAGAAACUACUAUAAGUAUGUGUGGUGUUGUAAGAAAGAUAAAUCCAAUUCUAAUAAGAAGAAGAGUAAGUA